RNAcentral lists this ribosomal RNA (468 nucleotides) under uncultured bacterium. RNAcentral's name for it is "partial 16S ribosomal RNA". It matches the Rfam family "Bacterial small subunit ribosomal RNA", at positions 28 to 507 of the family's 1533-position model. The record is from RNAcentral.
GACGAACGCUGGCGGCGUGCUUAACACAUGCAAGUCGAACGGAAAGGCCCUGCUUUUGUGGGGUGCUCGAGUGGCGAACGGGUGAGUAACACGUGAGUAACCUGCCCUUGACUUUGGGAUAACUUCAGGAAACUGGGGCUAAUACCGGAUAGGAGCUCCUGCUGCAUGGUGGGGGUUGGAAAGUUUCGGCGGUUGGGGAUGGUCUCGCGGCUUAUCGGCUUGUUGGUGGGGUAGUGGCUUACCAAGGCUUUGACGGGUAGCCGGCCUGAGAUGGUGACCGGCCACAUUGGGCCUGAGAUACGGCCCAGCCUCCUACGGGAGGCAGCGGUGGAGAAUAUUGCACAAUGGGCGGAAGCCUGAUGCAACAACGCCGCGUGCGGGAUGACGGCCUUCGGGUUGUAAACCGCAUCCGCCUGUGACGAGGAGUGAGUGACGGUAAUGGGUAAAGAAGCACCGGCUAACUACGUG